GGGAAGGUAGCUCAGUGGUAGAGUGCUUGCCUUGCAUGCAUGAGGCCCUACGUUCCAUUCCCC
This 63-nucleotide transfer RNA is filed under the name Dipodomys ordii (Ord's kangaroo rat). It matches the Rfam family "tRNA". Rfam says of the family: Transfer RNA (tRNA) molecules are approximately 80 nucleotides in length. Their secondary structure includes four short double-helical elements and three loops (D, anti-codon, and T loops). Further hydrogen bonds mediate the characteristic L-shaped molecular structure. tRNAs have two regions of fundamental functional importance: the anti-codon, which is responsible for specific mRNA codon recognition, and the 3' end, to which the tRNAs corresponding amino acid is attached (by aminoacyl-tRNA synthetases). tRNAs cope with the degeneracy of the genetic code in two manners: having more than one tRNA (with a specific anti-codon) for a particular amino acid; and 'wobble' base-pairing, i.e. permitting non-standard base-pairing at the 3rd anti-codon position. Lineage: Eukaryota; Metazoa; Chordata; Mammalia; Rodentia; Heteromyidae. The record is from Rfam by way of RNAcentral.